This 247-nucleotide ribosomal RNA is filed under the name uncultured bacterium. Its description in RNAcentral is "partial 16S ribosomal RNA". It matches the Rfam family "Bacterial small subunit ribosomal RNA", at positions 15 to 257 of the family's 1533-position model. The record is from RNAcentral.
GAUCAUGGCUCAGGAUGAACGCUAGCGGCAGGCUUAACACAUGCAAGUCGAGGGGCAGCGAGAUCAAAGCUUGCUUUGGUUGUCGGCGACCGGCGCACGGGUGCGUAACGCGUAUGCAACCUACCCACUACAGGGGGACAACACUGAGAAAUCGGUACUAAUACCCCAUAAUAUCUUGGAAGGCAUCUUCCGGUGAACUACGUCGGUAGUGAGUGGGUCGGAUGCGUUGUUAGUUAGUCUGGUUGGG